CCUGACACUCUGGACUUCUGAUAUCCCGGUAUUUGAACAUGUUCACCUGAUAAAUAGAUCUUAAUAUUUUGUAAAAUAAUGGUUAGAUAAAUAGAUUUACAUAUUUUUUUUAAUGAUGUGAUACAUUUUUUGCACAUUAAAUAUUUUCAUAGAUAAUUUGUGUGCACUAUUUAUUGAAUAUGGGAUUGGACAAGGUCUUUAACGUUGUCCUGGAUCUAAUUAGAAUUAAUCCUAGUAUGCUGAACAUACUUAGGUCAGAGAGCCAAAA
RNAcentral lists this unclassified non-coding RNA (268 nucleotides) under Hevea brasiliensis (rubber tree). Lineage: Eukaryota; Viridiplantae; Streptophyta; Magnoliopsida; Malpighiales; Euphorbiaceae. The record is from RNAcentral.